GCAGUCGACGGUACAGGAAGAGCUUGCUUCUUUGCUGACGAGUGGCGGACGGGUGAGUAAUGUCUGGGAAACUGCCUGAUGGAGGGGGAUAACUACUGGAAACGGUAGCUAAUACCGCAUAACGUCGCAAGACCAAAGAGGGGGACCUUCGGGCCUCUUGCCAUCGGAUGUGCCCAGAUGGGAUUAGCUAGUAGGUGGGGUAACGGCUCACCUAGGCGACGAUCCCUAGCUGGUCUGAGAGGAUGACCAGCCACACUGGAACUGAGACACGGUCCAGACUCCUACGGGAGGCAGCAGUGGGGAAUAUUGCACAAUGGGCGCAAGCCUGAUGCAGCCAUGCCGCGUGUAUGAAGAAGGCCUUCGGGUUGUAAAGUACUUUCAGCGGGGAGGAAGGGAGUAAAGUUAAUACCUUUGCUCAUUGACGUUACCCGCAGAAGAAGCACCGGCUAACUCCGUGCCAGCAGCCGCGGUAAUACGGAGGGUGCAAGCGUUAAUCGGAAUUACUGGGCGUAAAGCGCACGCAGGCGGUUUGUUAAGUCAGAUGUGAAAUCCCCGGGCUCAACCUGGGAACUGCAUCUGAUACUGGCAAGCUUGAGUCUCGUAGAGGGGGGUAGAAUUCCAGGUGUAGCGGUGAAAUGCGUAGAGAUCUGGAGGAAUACCGGUGGCGAAGGCGGCCCCCUGGACGAAGACUGACGCUCAGGUG
This 703-nucleotide ribosomal RNA is filed under the name uncultured bacterium. RNAcentral's name for it is "bacterial SSU rRNA". It matches the Rfam family "Bacterial small subunit ribosomal RNA", at positions 57 to 753 of the family's 1533-position model. The record is from RNAcentral.